AUGCCCCUGUGAGGAGUUGUGAGCGGCUAGCGAUGGUCGGCGUACGACGAGGCAGAGGGAGGCCUAAGAGGUAUUGGGGAGAGGUGAUUAGGCAUGACAUGGCUAGAAUGCGGGUUUCCGAGGGGCAGAAGGAGGCCUAAGAGGUAUUGGGGAGAGGUGAUUAGGCAUAACAUGGCUAGAAUGCAGGUUUCCGAGGACAUGGCCCUUGAUAGGAAAGUCUGGAGGUCUAGUAUCAGGGCUGUAGGAUAGGGGCUCCUAGAGUUUUUCGUACUCCUCACCCGGGGUUGGGUGAGGCUUGGCAGGGCU
RNAcentral lists this long non-coding RNA (306 nucleotides) under Nicotiana benthamiana. RNAcentral describes it as "long non-coding RNA (NBEN_LNC040095)". The record is from RNAcentral. Lineage: Eukaryota; Viridiplantae; Streptophyta; Magnoliopsida; Solanales; Solanaceae.